UCCCGGCCCUGCCCUCACGGGCGGAGCGCCCGCCGGAGGAUACCAAACUCUAUUUUAACGACGUUUCUUCUGAGUGGCACAAGCAAAUAAUUAAAACUUUCAACAACGGAUCUCUUGGUUCUGGCAUCGAUGAAGAACGCAGCGAAAUGCGAUAAGUAAUGUGAAUUGCAGAAUUCAGUGAAUCAUCGAAUCUUUGAACGCACAUUGCGCCCGCCAGCAUUCUGGCGGGCAUGCCUGUUCGAGCGUCAUUUCAACCCUCAAGCUCUGCUUGGUGUUGGGGCCCUACGGUUGACGUAGGCCCUUAAAGGUAGUGGCGGACCCUCUCGGAGCCUCCUUUGCGUAGUAACUAACGUCUCGCACUGGGAUUCGGAGGGACUCUUGCCGUAAAACCCCCAAAUUUUUAAAGGUUGACCUCGGAUCAGGUAGGAAUACCCGCUGAACUUAAGCAUAUCAAUAG
This 457-nucleotide ribosomal RNA is filed under the name Colletotrichum coccodes. Its description in RNAcentral is "eukaryotic LSU rRNA". The stretch from base 95 to 248 matches the Rfam family "5.8S ribosomal RNA". Lineage: Eukaryota; Fungi; Ascomycota; Sordariomycetes; Glomerellales; Glomerellaceae. The record is from RNAcentral.